UCCAACUUUUCAAACAUGAUUUUUUUUAAAUUUCAUAGCAAAAAACAUAACAAAAAUUGACAAAAUGUUAAGCUUCAUGUUUCUAUACAAUCUGUUGUAACAUGUUUUUUUGUUGAACAUAUGGCAUCAUUCUUUUUUCUACCUACCUUAAUCAACUUUAGGAUCACGGCCAAACAUUAGAAAGUAAAUAAAAAACCUUUUAACUUGAACAUUAGAUCAUUGAGCAUUAUCAAUCAAAAAAUAUCGAAUUCUCAAGUGCGGACAUAAACAAUGAUUUUUUUUAACUACGAGGUUAACUAUAUAGUUUUCGAAAUAAAAUUUGUACCAACAGAAAGCAAAAAUGCCACCGAAACGUAAAGCAAUUGGAAGAUCAUCAGCAAAAGGUCGGCAAAUCAAAAUUGCACGUGCUGCCGAAACACAAAUGAACCGAUCACAGCGCAUGGAGGAUGAUCGGAUACGCCAUCAGGAGGCAAGAGUUUCUGAAUCCGCUGACCAGCGCAUCAUGAGAUUAACGAAUGAUCGGCUGCGGCAUUCAGUAGACCGUUCAUCUGAGUCGCCUGAACAGCGAGGUCUCAGGUUGAAUGCUGACCGUGAGCGUCAUGAGAACACACGUUUUUUUGAAACAGCUGAUGAACGAGUCGCCAAGAUUGCAACGGAACGGGUUCGUGCUUUUCAGUCAAGGCAUAACCAUGCUGAUUUGAAGCUUAGCGCGUUGAACUAUGAUCAUGAGUUGGAUUAUGAUCUGCACCCAUGUGUGAACAUAGGAAUCAUGGAUGUUCAAUGCAUUUUUUGCAAAGCACUCAAGUUCAAAAAAGAACCGCCAGGAAUGUGCUGUGCAAAUGGGAAAGUGAAGCUACCAGAGUUAAGCCUACCUCCAGAACCUCUAUCAGCAUUGCUGUCAGGCAGCACAAACAAAUCGAAACAGUUUUUGAAACAAAUUCGUAAAUACAAUUCCUGUUUCCAAAUGACAUCUUUCGGGGCAACUAAUGUUGUUCACAACAAUUACGCGUCUACAUUUAAAGUGCAAGGACAAAUAUACCAUAGAGCAGGAUCUCUGUUACCAAUGCCAGAUUCGGAUCAUCGAUUCCUACAAAUAUAUUUCAUGGGAGAUACUGAACAACAGAUUAAUCAGCGUUGCCGAUAUAAUAUCGAUGCAGAUCGAGAAAUUAUUCGUGAACUUGAAUCUUUUUUCCAACAUCAUAAUGAGUUGGUCAAAUUGUUUAGAACAGCACUGGAACAAAUGCCAAAUGAUAACUUUUCAAUUGUUAUAAGAGCAGAUAAAAGACCCACUGGCCAGCAUGAAAGGCGAUACAAUGCUCCUACAAUUAAUGAAGUGGCAAUCAUCAUAGUUGGUGAAGAAUUCCAAUCACGUGAUAUCAUUCUUCACCGUAGAAGUGGAAAUAUUCAACGUGUUUCAGAAACGCAUCGAUCAUAUGAUGCAUUGCAAUAUCCGAUUAUAUUUUGGCAAGGUCAAGAUGGAUAUCAUUUCAAUAUCAAAAUGAUAAAUCCUCAGACAGGUGCUGAUACUAACAAAAAAGUAAGUGCCAUGCACUAUUAUGCUUACCGGAUGAUGAUUCGUCAUAAUAUUGAUAAUCACAUUCUAAGAUGCCGAGCACUUUUUAAUCAGUAUAUCGUUGACAUGUAUGCCAAAAUAGAGACAGAACGACUACUUUAUAUUCGACUAAAUCAGAGCAAGUUACGUUCUGAAGAGUACAUCCACCUUCGUGAUGCUGUUCGAAGUGAUGGUAAUUUUAAUCCCGAGGAUUUUGGAAAAAGAGUUGUACUACCAGCCACGUUUACCGGUAGUCCGCGGCAUAUGCACGAAUAUGCUCAAGACGCGAUGGCAUAUGUUCGUGCCUAUGGCCGACCAGAUCUUUUCGUAACAUUCACGUGUAAUCCUAAAUGGAACGAAAUCAAAGACCUACUGUUAGCUGGACAGUCAACAUCUGAACGUCACGACAUAUUAGCACGUGUUUUUAAGCAAAAGUUGAAGGCAUUGAUGGAUCUUAUAGUAAAACAUCAAGUUUAUGGAGAAACAAGAUGUUGGAUGUAUUCUGUAGAGUGGCAGAAAAGAGGGCUACCGCAUGCGCAUAUUUUAAUCUGGCUAAUCGAUAAAAUAAGACCUGACCAAAUCGAUAAAGUAAUUUCAGCAGAAAUACCUGAUAAAAACGUAGACCCAGGAUUAUUUGAAGUAAUAUGCAAAAACAUGAUUCAUGGGCCAUGUGGAAUACUCAAUAUCAAUUCCCCUUGCAUGGUUGACGGAAAGUGUACCAAACGGUUCCCGAAACUUUUCGUUUCUAAUACAAUUACUGGCAAUGACGGGUACCCACUUUAUCGUCGCCGAUCAAUCGAAAACGGUGGUCGAUCAGUUACUGUUAACAAUAUCGAUAUUGAUAAUCGUUGGAUCGUUCCGUAUUCACCAUUGCUAUCAAAAAUAUUUAAAGCACAUAUAAACGUGGAGUAUUGCAAUUCAGUCAAAUCAAUAAAAUACAUAUGUAAAUAUGUCAAUAAGGGUAGUGAUAUGGCUGUUUUUGGAAUGGAAAACACUUCAGAAUCGAUUGACGAAAUUAGCCAGUAUCAUCUUGGCCGUUAUAUUAGCAGUAAUGAAGCAGUUUGGCGUAUCUUAUCAUUUGCAAUACAUGAGCGAUAUCCAACGGUGACACAUUUGGCAGUCCAUUUAGAGAAUGGACAACGUGUGUACUUCACAUCUUCUAAUGUUCGUGAGAGAGUAUUGACGCCACCAUCAACAACAUUAACCGCGUUUUUUUCACUGUGCCAAAAUGAUACAUUUGUUAAAACACUUCUUUACUCCGAAGUGCCAAGGUUUUAUACAUGGAAUGCAUCUUCAAAGAAAUUCCAGCGUCGUAAACAAGGAAAAGCAGUUGAAGGACAUAACAACGUAUUUUCCAGUAAUGCUCUAGGCCGUCUAUACACUGUGCAUCCAAAUAAUGCAGAAUGUUUUUACUUGAGAUUACUACUUAUCAAUGUUCGUGGACCAACAUCUUUCCAAGAAUUAAAAACGGUGAAUGAUCGUUUAUGCGCGACUUACCGUGAAGCGUGCCAAGAUAGGAACCUUCUGGAAAACGAUUCACAUUGGGAUACCACUAUCGAUGAUGCAGUAAAUACUGCACAUCCCCAGCAGAUUUGCACAUUGUUCGCCAUUAUAUUAUCCUCUUGCUUUCCAUCCAAUCCUACAAAUCUUUGGGAAAAGUACAAAGAUCAUAUGAGUCAAGAUUAUUUACAUCGUUUACAAAAUGCGCAGCAAAAUCCAACUAUUGAAUUUUCUGAAAACGUAUACAACGAGGCGUUGGUAUCAAUCGAAAACAUGUGUCUAUCAAUGAUAAACAAAUCUUUAACACAGUUGGGAAUGCCUGCACCAAACCGAAUUGCCUGUAACUUUUCCGAUUCGAUUCAGCAAUCACAGCACAUUGACGAACUAAAAAGUUAUGUUCGAACAAGACUUCCACAGCUGAACGAAGAUCAGCGGAAAGUUUAUAACAAAAUUAUGCACGCAGUGGUUAACCGAAACGGCGGAUUUUAUUUCCUAGAUGCGCCUGGUGGUACAGGUAAAUCCUUUUUAAUUAAAAAAAAUUAAUAAUAAUAGAUUUUUUUUCUGUGCAGGUAAAACUUUUUUAAUAUCAGUUAUUCUGGCAUCGAUAAGAUCACAAAACCAAACAGUAUUGGCAAUCGCGUCAUCAGGGAUAGCUGCAACUCUUUUAGACGGUGGUCGAACAGCACACUCCGCGUUAAAGUUACCGUUAAAUUUGCAAACAACUGAAGCCCCAACAUGUAAUAUAAGCAAAAACUCAGAAAUGGGCCGCUUUCUUCAAACUUGCCGUCUUAUAAUAUGGGACGAGUGCACAAUGGCUCAUAAAAAAGCUUUAGAAGCACUGAAUCGGACGCUUAAAGACCUGAGAUCAAAUGAUCUGCUGUUUGGUGACAGUUUGAUAUUAUUAUCCGGAGACUUCCGCCAAACGCUACCAGUUAUACAAAAAUCUACACCUGCGGAUGAAAUCAAUGCAUGUCUUAAGUCCUCUGCUUUAUGGACGUACGUGCAAAAACUUACUCUAACAAAGAAUAUGCGUGUAGCGUUGCAGCAAAAUGUGUCCGCUGAUACAUUCUCAAAACAACUUUUAGACAUGGGAAACGGAAAACUACCCAUAGAUCAAACAAAUCAAAUUACGUUCCCAAGAAAUUUUUGUAAAAUGAUGAAUUCGAAAGAUGAACUGAUUGCAAGUGUUUUCCCUGACAUAGAAAAUAGUUAUAAAAACCAUGAGUGGCUAAGUGAGCGUGCUAUAUUAGCGGCAAAAAACCUAGACGUUAAUGAUAUCAAUUCAAAAAUUCAAAACAAAAUUCCAGGCGAGUCUACCACAUAUAAAUCAUUCGACACCGUGAUCAAUCCUGAUGAGGCAGUCAAUUACCCGAUCGAGUUUCUGAAUUCACUUGACUUGCCAGGCAUGCCACCUCACAUGUUGGUAUUAAAAGUUGGUGUUCCAAUAAUUCUUUUAAGAAACAUCUGCCCACCAAGGCUUUGUAAUGGAACCAGAAUGUCAGUAAAAAGAUUGAUGAAUAAUGUUCUAGAAGCUACCAUUCUGAUCGGAAAAUAUAAAGGUCAAGAUGUCCUUCUACCGAGAAUUCCUAUGAUUCCGACAGAUAUUCCGUUUGAAUUCAAACGUUUACAGUUUCCGGUGAGACUGGCAUUCGGAAUGACUGUAAAUAAAGCGCAGGGGCAAUCCCUAAAAGUUUGUGGAUUAAAUUUAGAAAAUCCAUGCUUUUCUCACGGUCAACUGUAUGUUGCUUGCUCCCGAGUUGGGAAUCCUUGCAAUUUGUUUGUUUUUACCCCAAAUGGUAAAACGAGAAAUGUAACUUAUUCUGAAGCACUACAAUAGUUGCAACAUUCAUCGGAACAAAUUUUUUUUCGAAAAAAUGGAAAACUUAAGAAGUGCGUUUCAUAUUACCAAAACAAACGAGGAUAUUCAAAUCUUAUGAUAUUUCUUUUUUUUAUAAAUACUUAACUGUAAGAAAACAUUCACCGAACUGUAUAUUAUCCAUGG
This is an RNA transcript of Uranotaenia lowii, 5054 nucleotides long. It is a transcript of the gene named ATP-dependent DNA helicase pif1-like, with no coding region annotated. The record is from RefSeq and is a predicted model, not a curated record. NCBI's taxonomy places the organism in Eukaryota, Metazoa, Arthropoda, Insecta, Diptera, Culicidae. The transcript is spliced from 2 exons.